This 455-nucleotide unclassified non-coding RNA is filed under the name Ichnanthus panicoides. RNAcentral describes it as "partial external transcribed spacer". The record is from RNAcentral. Lineage: Eukaryota; Viridiplantae; Streptophyta; Magnoliopsida; Poales; Poaceae.
UGAGAUGUGCUGGACCUGUGACUGUCGGGAGGCCCCCCGCCGUUGUGCGGCCGACUCUCGGCGCCUGUGUCCCUUCAAUCWUUGKCCAUUGUGUCUGACCUGYUUGACGGGUGCUUGCAUGCUACUACCAGUCCACUGGAAGUUGCAUUCGCUAAAUGUUGCCUUCGUCGUGCCCGUCCCGAGGAAGWGGCACGUCGAUAAKAAAAAGCCUUCACGGUGUUGCCUCGUKUWGCCAGCCASCUAGGCURGCAUCAUCAAGGCCACCUUGUGUAUGCUCUUGGUCCUGGAUGCUGCAARYRAUAAAGGUCGAAGGCGCUCUGGCGCCRCGUGCCUACCAGAGAUUGUCCGAUCGGAAAGAACGACAGUCGGCCCGACUGAUGCCUNGUGUGGAUGUCGGUGCUGGCUCGUCGAUGAGGACGUGCUACCUGGUUGAUCCUGCCAGUAGUCAUAUGCUU